RNAcentral lists this ribosomal RNA (465 nucleotides) under Vreelandella stevensii. Its description in RNAcentral is "partial 16S ribosomal RNA". It matches the Rfam family "Bacterial small subunit ribosomal RNA", at positions 338 to 795 of the family's 1533-position model. Lineage: Bacteria; Pseudomonadati; Pseudomonadota; Gammaproteobacteria; Oceanospirillales; Halomonadaceae. The record is from RNAcentral.
CCUACGGGGGGCUGCAGUGGGGAAUAUUGGACAAUGGGGGGAACCCUGAUCCAGCCAUGCCGCGUGUGUGAAGAAGGCCCUCGGGUUGUAAAGCACUUUCAGUGAGGAAGAACGCCUGGUGGUUAAUACCCAUCAGGAAAGACAUCACUCACAGAAGAAGCACCGGCUAACUCCGUGCCAGCAGCCGCGGUAAUACGGAGGGUGCGAGCGUUAAUCGGAAUUACUGGGCGUAAAGCGCGCGUAGGUGGCUUGAUAAGCCGGUUGUGAAAGCCCCGGGCUCAACCUGGGAACGGCAUCCGGAACUGUCAAGCUAGAGGGCAGGAGAGGAAGGUAGAAUUCCCGGUGUAGCGGUGAAAUGCGUAGAGAUCGGGAGGAAUACCAGUGGCGAAGGCGGCCUUCUGGACUGACACUGACACUGAGGUGCGAAAGCGUGGGUAGCAAACAGGAUUAGAUACCCCAGUAGUC